UGGGGAAUCUUGCGCAAUGGACGAAUGUCUGACGCAGCGACGCCGCGUGUGGGAUGAAGGUCUUCGGAUCGUAAACCACUGUCGGGGGGGACGAAGGCCCGGCGCCUAAUACGCGACCGGGAUUGACGGUACCCUCAAAGGAAGCACCGGCUAACUCUGUGCCAGCAGCCGCGGUAAUACAGAGGGUGCGAGCGUUGUCCGGAAUCACUGGGCGUAAAGGGCGCGUAGGCGGCUGGGUAAGCCGCGUGUGAAAGCCCGGGGCUCAACCCCGGAACGGCACGCGGGACUGCUCGGCUCGAGUAUGGUAGAGGCGAGUGGAAUUCCAGGUGUAGCGGUGGAAUGCGUAGAGAUCUGGAAGAACACCGGUGGCGAAGGCGGCUCGCUGGGCCAUUACUGACGCUGAGGCGCGAAAGCGUGGGGAGCAAACAGGAUUAGAUACCCGCGUAGUCC
This 450-nucleotide ribosomal RNA is filed under the name uncultured bacterium. RNAcentral's name for it is "bacterial SSU rRNA". It matches the Rfam family "Bacterial small subunit ribosomal RNA", at positions 355 to 796 of the family's 1533-position model. The record is from RNAcentral.